RNAcentral lists this ribosomal RNA (456 nucleotides) under Streptococcus sp. oral taxon 064. Its description in RNAcentral is "bacterial SSU rRNA". It matches the Rfam family "Bacterial small subunit ribosomal RNA", at positions 28 to 470 of the family's 1533-position model. Lineage: Bacteria; Bacillati; Bacillota; Bacilli; Lactobacillales; Streptococcaceae. The record is from RNAcentral.
GACGAACGCUGGCGGCGUGCCUAAUACAUGCAAGUAGAACGCUGAAGGAGGAGCUUGCUCUUCUGGAUGAGUUGCGAACGGGUGAGUAACGCGUAGGUAACCUGCCUGGUAGUGGGGGAUAACUAUUGGAAACGAUAGCUAAUACCGCAUAACAGUAGAUGUUGCAUGACAUUUGCUUAAAAGGUGCAAUUGCAUCACUACCAGAUGGACCUGCGUUGUAUUAGCUAGUUGGUGGGGUAACGGCUCACCAAGGCGACGAUACAUAGCCGACCUGAGAGGGUGAUCGGCCACACUGGGACUGAGACACGGCCCAGACUCCUACGGGAGGCAGCAGUAGGGAAUCUUCGGCAAUGGACGGAAGUCUGACCGAGCAACGCCGCGUGAGUGAAGAAGGUUUUCGGAUCGUAAAGCUCUGUUGUAAGAGAAGAACGAGUGUGAGAGUGGAAAGUUCACACU